GUAGUACUAGGAUGGGUGACCUCCCGGGAAGUCCUCGUGUUGCACCCCUUUUUAUUUUUUAAUUUUUUUUAGCCUAAAACGAGUCUAAACUUGAAAACCUCAUAACUUUUGAACCGUGAGGAACUACGUCGCCCAUAGCACCAUUUCGGAGAGCCCCAGAAACCAUAAUGGGCGGUGAAUAGGGGGCGCAAUUUUUCGGGCUCAAAUUCAGCCGUUUUGACCCUCAAACGGGCUGCGGAAAGUUAUGGCACGUAAAAAAGAUCGAAAGCGGAUUCUCAAGGUGUUUUUGAUGCUUUCUUAACGCCGUUAACCUCGAUGCACUUUUUCGCUCGAAACAAAACGGCAAGAAAAUCAUGCGCGCCCACGGCCUUACACUUGGAUUGGCCGCGAAAAGGAUAUAUAGAAACGAGAGUGAUGUACUGACGGGUGCGAUCAUACCAGCACUAAUGCACCGGAUCCCAUCAGAACUCCGCAGUAAGCGUGCUUGGGCGAGAGUAGUACUAGGAUGGGUGACCUCCCGGGAAGUCCUCGUGUUGCACCCCUUUUUAUUUUUUAAUUUUUUUUUAGCCUAAAACGAGUCUAAACUUGAAAACCUCAUAACUUUUGAACCGUGAGGAACUACGUCGCCCAUAGCACCAUUUCGGAGAGCCCCAGAAACCAUAAUGGGCGGUGAAUAGGGGGCGCAAUUUUUCGGGCUCAAAUUCAGCCGUUUUGACCCUCAAACGGGCUGCGGAAAGUUAUGGCACGUAAAAAAGAUCGAAAGCGGAUUCUCAAGGUGUUUUUGAUGCUUUCUUAACGCCGUUAACCUCGAUGCACUUUUUCGCUCGAAACAAAACGGCAAGAAAAUCAUGCGCGCCCCACGGCCUUACACUUGGAUUGGCCGCGAAAAGGAUAUAUAGAAACGAGAGUGAUGUACUGACGGGUGCGAUCAUACCAGCACUAAUGCACCGGAUCCCAUCAGAACUCCGCAGUUAAGCGUGCUUGGGCGAGAGUAGUACUAGGAUGGGUGACCUCCCGGGAAGUCCUCGUGUUGCACCCCUUUUUAUUUUUAAUUUUUUUUUAGCCUAAAACGAGUCUAAACUUGAAAACCUCAUAACUUUUGAACCGUGAGGAACUACGUCGCCCAUAGCACCAUUUCGGAAAGCCCCAGAAACCAUAAUGGGCGGUGAAUAGGGGGCGCAAUUUUUCGGGCUCAAAUUCAGCCGUUUUGACCCUCAAACGGGCUGCGGAAAGUUAUGGCACGUAAAAAAGAUCGAAAGCGGAUUCUCAAGGUGUUUUUGAUGCUUUCUUAACGCCGUUAACCUCGAUGCACUUUUUCGCUCGAAACAAAACGGCAAGAAAAUCAUGCGCGCCCCACGGCCUUACACUUGGAUUGGCCGCGAAAAGGAUAUAUAGAAACGAGAGUGAUGUACUGACGGGUGCGAUCAUACCAGCACUAAUGCACCGGAUCCCAUCAGAACUCCGCAGUUAAGCGUGCUUGGCGCGAGAGUAGUACUAGGAUGGGUGACCUCCCGGGAAGUCCUCGUGUUGCACCCCUUUUUAUUUUUUAAUUUUUUUUUGCCUAAAACGAGUCUAAACUUGAAAACCUCAUAACUUUUGAACCGUGAGGAACUACGUCGCCCAUAGCACCAUUUCGGAGAGCCCCAGAAACCAUAAUGGGCGGUGAAUAGGGGGCGCAAUUUUUCGGGCUCAAAUUCAGCCGUUUUGACCCUCAAACGGGCUGCGGAAAGUUAUGGCACGUAAAAAAGAUCGAAAGCGGAUUCUCAAGGUGUUUUUGAUGCUUUCUUAACGCCGUUAACCUCGAUGCACUUUUUCGCUCGAAACAAAACGGCAAGAAAAUCAUGCGCGCCCACGGCCUUACACUUGGAUUGGCCGCGAAAAGGAUAUAUAGAAACGAGAGUGAUGUACUGACGGGUGCGAUCAUACCAGCACUAAUGCACCGGAUCCCAUCAGAACUCCGCAGUUAAGCGUGCUUGGGCGAGAGUAGUACUAGGAUGGGUGACCUCCCGGGAAGUCCUCGUGUUGCACCCCUUUUAUUUUUUAAUUUUUUUUUGCCUAAAACGAGUCUAAACUUGAAAACCUCAUAACUUUUGAACCGUGAGGAACUACGUCGCCCAUAGCACCAUUUCGGAGAGCCCCAGAAACCAUAAUGGGCGGGUGAAUAGGGGGCGCAAUUUUUCGGGCUCAAAUUCAGCCGUUUUGACCCUCAAACGGGCUGCGGAAAGUUAUGGCACGUAAAAAAGAUCGAAAGCGGAUUCUCAAGGUGUUUUUGAUGCUUUCUUAACGCCGUUAACCUCGAUGCACUUUUUCGCUCGAAACAAAACGGCAAGAAAAUCAUGCGCGCCCCACGGCCUUACACUUGGAUUGGCCGCGAAAAGGAUAUAUAGAAACGAGAGUGAUGUACUGACGGGUGCGAUCAUACCAGCACUAAUGCACCGGAUCCCAUCAGAACUCCGCAGUUAAGCGUGCUUGGGCGAGAGUAGUACUAGGAUGGGUGACCUCCCGGGAAGUCCUCGUGUUGCACCCCUUUUUUUUUAAAUUUUUUUUUAGCCUAAAACGAGUCUAAACUUGAAAACCUCAUAACUUUUGAACCGUGAGGAACUACGUCGCCCAUAGCACCAUUUCGGAGAGCCCCAGAAACCAUAAUGGGCGGGGAAUAGGGGGCGCAAUUUUUCGGGCUCAAAUUCAGCCGUUUUGACCCUCAAACGGGCUGCGGAAAGUUAUGUCACGUAAAAAAGAUCGAAAGCGGAUUCUCAAGGUGUUUUUGAUGCUUUCUUAACGCCGUUAACCUCGAUGCACUUUUUCGCUCGAAACAAAACGGCAAGAAAAUCAUGCGCGCCCCACGGCCUUACACUUGGAUUGGCCGCGAAAAGGAUAUAUAGAAACGAGAGUGAUGUACUGACGGGUGCGAUCAUACCAGCACUAAUGCACCGGAUCCCAUCAGAACUCCGCAGUUAAGCGUGCUUGGGCGAGAGUAGUACUAGGAUGGGUGACCUCCCGGGAAGUCCUCGUGUUGCACCCCUUUUUAUUUUUUAAUUUUUUUUUGCCUAAAACGAGUCUAAACUUGAAAACCUCAUAACUUUUGAACCGUGAGGAACUACGUCGCCCAUAGCACCAUUUCGGAGAGCCCCAGAAACCAUAAUGGGCGGUGAAUAGGGGGCGCAAUUUUUCGGGCUCAAAUUCAGCCGUUUUGACCCUCAAACGGGCUGCGGAAAGUUAUGGCACGUAAAAAAGAUCGAAAGCGGAUUCUCAAGGUGUUUUUGAUGCUUUCUUAACGCCGUUAACCUCGAUGCACUUUUUCGCUCGAAACAAAACGGCAAGAAAAUCAUGCGCGCCCCACGGCCUUACACUUGGAUUGGCCGCGAAAAGGAUAUAUAGAAACGAGAGUGAUGUACUGACGGGUGCGAUCAUACCAGCACUAAUGCACCGGAUCCCAUCAGAACUCCGCAGUUAAGCGUGCUUGGGCGAGAGUAGUACUAGGAUGGGUGACCUCCCGGGAAGUCCUCGUGUUGCACCCCUUUUUUUUUUUAAUUUUUUUUUAGCCUAAAACGAGUCUAAACUUGAAAACCUCAUAACUUUUGAACCGUGAGGAACUACGUCGCCCAUAGCACCAUUUCGGAGAGCCCCAGAAACCAUAAUGGGCGGUGAAUAGGGGGCGCAAUUUUUCGGGCUCAAAUUCAGCCGUUUUGACCCUCAAACGGGCUGCGGAAAGUUAUGGCACGUAAAAAAGAUCGAAAGCGGAUUCUCAAGGUGUUUUUGAUGCUUUCUUAACGCCGUUAACCUCGAUGCACUUUUUCGCUCGAAACAAAACGGCAAGAAAAUCAUGCGCGCCCCACGGCCUUACACUUGGAUUGGCCGCGAAAAGGAUAUAUAGAAACGAGAGUGAUGUACUGACGGGUGCGAUCAUACCAGCACUAAUGCACCGGAUCCCAUCAGAACUCCGCAGUUAAGCGUGCUUGGGCGAGAGUAGUACUAGGAUGGGUGACCUCCCGGGAAGUCCUCGUGUUGCACCCCUUUUUAUUUUUUAAUUUUUUUUUAGCCUAAAACGAGUCUAAACUUGAAAACCUCAUAACUUUUGAACCGUGAGGAACUACGUCGCCCAUAGCACCAUUUCGGAAGCCCAGAAACCAUAAUGGGCGGUGAAUAGGGGGCGCAAUUUUUCGGGCUCAAAUUCAGCCGUUUUGACCCUCAAACGGGCUGCGGAAAGUUAUGGCACGUAAAAAAGAUCGAAAGCGGAUUCUCAAGGUGUUUUUGAUGCUUUCUUAACGCCGUUAACCUCGAUGCACUUUUUCGCUCGAAACAAAACGGCAAGAAAAUCAUGCGCGCCCCACGGCCUUACACUUGGAUUGGCCGCGAAAAGGAUAUAUAGAAACGAGAGUGAUGUACUGACGGGUGCGAUCAUACCAGCACUAAUGCACCGGAUCCCAUCAGAACUCCGCAGUUAAGCGUGCUUGGGCGAGAGUAGUACUAGGAUGGGUGACCUCCCGGGAAGUCCUCGUGUUGCACCCCUUUUUAUUUUUUAAUUUUUUUUUAGCCUAAAACGAGUCUAAACUUGAAAACCUCAUAACUUUUGAACCGUGAGGAACUACGUCGCCCAUAGCACCAUUUCGGAAGCCCCAGAAACCAUAAUGGGCGGUGAAUAGGGGGCGCAAUUUUUCGGGCUCAAAUUCAGCCGUUUUGACCCUCAAACGGGCUGCGGAAAGUUAUGGCACGUAAAAAAGAUCGAAAGCGGAUUCUCAAGGUUGUUUUGAUGCUUUCUUAACGCCGUUAACCUCGAUGCACUUUUUCGCUCGAAACAAAACGGCAAGAAAAUCAUGCGCGCCCCACGGCCUUACACUUGGAUUGGCCGCGAAAAGGAUAUAUAGAAACGAGAGUGAUGUACUGACGGGUGCGAUCAUACCAGCACUAAUGCACCGGAUCCCAUCAGAACUCCGCAGUUAAGCGUGCUUGGGCGAGAGUAGUACUAGGAUGGGUGACCUCCCGGGAAGUCCUCGUGUUGCACCCCUUUUUAUUUUUUAAUUUUUUUUUAGCCUAAAACGAGUCUAAACUUGAAAACCUCAUAACUUUUGAACCGUGAGGAACUACGUCGCCCAUAGCACCAUUUCGGAAGCCCCAGAAACCAUAAUGGGCGGUGAAUAGGGGGCGCAAUUUUUCGGGCUCAAAUUCAGCCGUUUUGACCCUCAAACGGGCUGCGGAAAGUUAUGGCACGUAAAAAAGAUCGAAAGCGGAUUCUCAAGGUGUUUUUGAUGCUUUCUUAACGCCGUUAACCUCGAUGCACUUUUUCGCUCGAAACAAAACGGCAAGAAAAUCAUGCGCGCCCCACGGCCUUACACUUGGAUUGGCCGCGAAAAGGAUAUAUAGAAACGAGAGUGAUGUACUGACGGGUGCGAUCAUACCAGCACUAAUGCACCGGAUCCCAUCAGAACUCCGCAGUUAAGCGUGCUUGGGCGAGAGUAGUACUAGGAUGGGUGACCUCCCGGGAAGUCCUCGUGUUGCACACCUUUUUAUUUUAUAAUUUUUUUUAGCCUAAAACGAGUCUAAACAUGAAAACCUCAUAAAUUUUGAACCGUGAGGAACUACGUCGCCCAUAGCACCAUUGAAAAAGCCCCAGAAACCAUAAUGGGCGGUGAAUAGGGGGCGCAAUGUUUCGGGCUGAAAUUCAGCCGUUUUGACCCUCAAACGGGCUGCGGAAAGUUAUGGCACGUAAAAAAGAUCGAAAGCGGAUUCUCAAGGUGUUUUUGAUGCUUUCUUAACGCCGUUAACCUCGAUGCACUUUUUCGCUCGAAACAAAACGGCAAGAAAAUCAUGCGCGCCCCACGGCCUUACACUUGGAUUGGCCGCGAAAAGGAUAUAUAGAAACGAGAGUGAUGUACUGACGGGUGCGAUCAUACCAGCACUAAUGCACCGGAUCCCAUCAGAACUCCGCAGUUAAGCGUGCUUGGGCGAGAGUAGUACUAGGAUGGGUGACCUCCCGGGAAGUCCUCGUGUUGCACCCCUUUUUAUUUUUUAAUUUUUUUUUAGCCUAAAACGAGUCUAAACUUGAAAACCUCAUAACUUUUGAACCUUGAGGAACUACGUCGCCCAUAGCACCAUUUCGGAAAGCCCCAUAAAACCAUAAUGGGCGGUGAAUAGGGGGCGCAAUUUUUCGGGCUCAAAUUCAGCCGUUUUGACCCUCAAACGGGCUGCGGAAAGUUAUGGCACGUAAAAAAGAUCGAAAGCGGAUUUUCAAGGUGUUUUUGAUGCUUUCUUAACGCCGUUAACCUCGAUGCACUUUUUCGCUCGAAACAAAACGGCAAGAAAAUCAUGCGCGCCCCACGGCCUUACACUUGGAUUGGCCGCGAAAAGGAUAUAUAGAAACGAGAGUGAUGUA
This 6370-nucleotide long non-coding RNA is filed under the name Brassica rapa (field mustard). The record is from RNAcentral. Lineage: Eukaryota; Viridiplantae; Streptophyta; Magnoliopsida; Brassicales; Brassicaceae.